CCGGAUCUGAAUAGUAGUUGAAUUUGACAUUUGGUGCGACGCUGACAUUAGAGGAUGAUUGCAGAGUGAGAUAACCAGCAGAUAAAGGUCCAGGAACUUUGCUAACAAUGUGAGCGAAAGUCUGAUUUGGAAGGGGAUAAGAUGUGGUAGGGAAAAGACUAAAAGGGGGAGUAUCAAAUGGCAAGCUCGAUAGAGAACAUUGGUAGAAAUCGCUUUUAAUGCCUAGAACGGUUACAGUUGAAGCUUCUAUAGGAUUUGGGGGCAAAAUGUUAAUGAAAUUACGAGGGUUGUCAUUUAAAUUUUGCCCGACGUAAGGAUGGGAAGCAACAACUGAAAUGUUCAGAGAUGUUAGGUAAGACUCCGGGCCAACACCACUAAGUAGUAGAAGUUGAGGGGUUCCAAGUGCCCCUGCACUCAAUAUAACUUCCCCCUUACCCCUUACAAAUGCACGAUGAGACGUUCCAUUAGAAUCAGUAUAUACGACUCCUACAGCUGUCACACCUGCAUUGAAGAAUAACUUAUAACUAUGAACAAACAAUUUAUGAGAUUGUAUUCGUGCUAUCAAUGUUUUAAAAUGAUUAAAUAUUUACUUUGGAGUGGAGCAGCUGUCUCAGAGGCAACAUACCUGAUGCUUCGGUAAGGAAGAUGAUCUUCUGCACUGCUGCUUCAACCGCAACUUUCAAGUUGUCCGGGUCUCCUUUAUUAAG
Molecule: long non-coding RNA, 707 nt
Filed under: Prunus persica (peach)
Lineage: Eukaryota; Viridiplantae; Streptophyta; Magnoliopsida; Rosales; Rosaceae
Description: long non-coding RNA (PPER_LNC000276)
Source: RNAcentral